Molecule: long non-coding RNA, 859 nt
Filed under: Nicotiana benthamiana
Lineage: Eukaryota; Viridiplantae; Streptophyta; Magnoliopsida; Solanales; Solanaceae
Description: long non-coding RNA (NBEN_LNC010593)
Source: RNAcentral
CCCAAUCUAUCAAUUUUAAAAUGACAUAAGCAACCAACAUUUCCACUUGAACAAGUAUACGUAAAAUAUGUAAGUUCUGGUGAAGCAGAUCCAUCGGUUUCACACCGUUAUUCAUAUACCGCUACCCAUGGCCGAGCACACCUUACGAAUUAAUACAUAUUUUAAACAUGGGCACCAACAAAUGAAUAUAACAGUUCUAUCUCAGUUUAUGCAUCAAAUGGGUUGGUGAAUUAGCUCAAACGAUCACAAUAAUUUUAAGUAAGAACAGAGAUUCCUCCCCAAAAUAUCACAAGCAACAAGAAUUCACAUAAAUCCUCACAUUGAACCAUAAUAUAAGAAAUACACGAAAUGAUACAAAGGGGGAACAAUAGGAACUUUCGAACCUCGACGAACUCAUAACGACAAAUGACGACCUCGAAAUACUGUUCUUUUUUUCUCGACUACAAAUCGGAAUCGAAACUCGCCGGAAAAUGAACUCAGAACGACAAACGACGACCUCGAAAUACUGUUCUAUUUUUCUCGAAUCCAAAUCGCAAUCGAAACUCGUCGAAAAAUUCAAACUAAACCAGAAAACGGACCCGGCGAACUCCAUGACAGUAGCUCAUGAUUUUGGAGUUGUUUCGGGCUGUUUCACGUUGCUUUGAUGGUGAAAAUGGUGAGCUUACACCACUGGUUUUGAAGCUAUUUUCAUGGCUAGUUUUGCUGCCUUUUGGUCGGAAUUCGGAAGUGACUCAAACUUGAAAGAAGUGGAUCAUUUGGGUUCGAUGGAUGAAACAUCUUCCUAGGAAUAGGAAAGGAGAUGAAGGAGCUGGGCCUUUAAGAGAUGAAGGUGAGCAGAACCAUCUCCGUUGAAGACAAC